This 464-nucleotide long non-coding RNA is filed under the name Homo sapiens (human). RNAcentral describes it as "HSALNT0109236". The record is from RNAcentral. Lineage: Eukaryota; Metazoa; Chordata; Mammalia; Primates; Hominidae.
AAAGAUUUGAAAAGAAACAUUUUGAACAUUUUCAGACAGGUUUUUAUAGCUCGGCAAUAAUUUCUUGUUCUGAAUGAACAAACAGGUGAGCUUUGGCAGAAUAUUGAUGACGCCUGAUAGUUCUAGUCUUUGUGACAGUUAGAUUUUAAUCAAAGUAUUCUUUUUGACACAAUUAUUUUUUCAGCUUUAUUGAGGUAUAAGUGAUAAAUAAAAAUUGUAUAAUUCAAGUCAUACAACACCAUGUUUUGAUAUAUGUAUACAUUGUGAAAUGAUUACCACUAUCAGGCUAAUUAACAUAUCCAUUAGCUCACAUAGUUACCUUGUUUUGUGGUGGGAAUACUUAAGACGUACGCUCAACACAUUUUCAAUAUAUAUUAUUAUGAACUAUAGUCACCACGCUGUACGUUAGUCUUCCAGAACUUAUUCAUCUUAUAACUGCAAGUUUAUGCCCAUUGGCCAGCAUC